GCUGGGCAUGAUGGUGCAUGCCUAUAGUCCUAGCUACUCAGGAAGCUGAGGCAGGAGGAUCACUUGAGCCCAGGAGUUUGAGGUUACAGUGAGCUAUGAUUAUGCCACUGGACUUCAGUCUGGGCAACAGAGUGAGACACUGUUUCUU
Molecule: unclassified non-coding RNA, 148 nt
Organism: Macaca fascicularis (crab-eating macaque)
Lineage: Eukaryota; Metazoa; Chordata; Mammalia; Primates; Cercopithecidae
Rfam family: Metazoan signal recognition particle RNA
About the family: The signal recognition particle (SRP) is a universally conserved ribonucleoprotein.
Source: Ensembl